UACGGAGGGGGCUAGCGUUGUUCGGAAUUACUGGGCGUAAAGGGCGCGUAGGCGGCGCGAUAAGUUGGGCGUGAAAGGCCCGGGCUCAACCCGGGGACUGCGCUUGAUACUGUCGCGCUGUGAGUCCGGGAGAGGAUGGCGGAAUUCCCAGUGUAGAGGUGAAAUUCGUAGAUAUUGGGAAGAACACCAGUGGCGAAGGCGGCUUUCUGGUCUGUAACUGACGCUGAGGCGCGAAAGCGUGGGGAGCAAACAGG
Molecule: ribosomal RNA, 254 nt
Filed under: uncultured bacterium
Lineage: Bacteria
Description: partial 16S ribosomal RNA
Rfam family: Bacterial small subunit ribosomal RNA
Source: RNAcentral